RNAcentral lists this ribosomal RNA (497 nucleotides) under uncultured bacterium. RNAcentral's name for it is "partial 16S ribosomal RNA". It matches the Rfam family "Bacterial small subunit ribosomal RNA", at positions 28 to 507 of the family's 1533-position model. The record is from RNAcentral.
GAUGAACGCUGGCGGCGUGCCUAAUACAUGCAAGUCGAGCGAACAGAUGAGGAGCUUGCUCCUCUGACGUUAGCGGCGGACGGCUGAGUAACACGUGGAUAACCUACCUAUAAGACUGGGAUAACUUCGGGAAACCGGAGCUAAUACCGGAUAAUAUAUUGAACCGCAUGGUUCAAUAGUGAAAGACGGUUUUGCUGUCACUUAUAGAUGGAUCCGCGCCGCAUUAGCUAGUUGGUAAGGUAACGGCUUACCAAGGCGACGAUGCGUAGCCGACCUGAGAGGGUGAUCGGCCACACUGGAACUGAGACACGGUCCAGACUCCUACGGGAGGCAGCAGUAGGGAAUCUUCCGCAAUGGGCGAAAGCCUGACGGAGCAACGCCGCGUGAGUGAUGAAGGUCUUCGGAUCGUAAAACUCUGUUAUUAGGGAAGAACAAAUGUGUAAGUAACUAUGCACGUCUUGACGGUACCUAAUCAGAAAGCCACGGCUAACUACGUG